UACGAAAGGAGCAGGUGUUAUUCAGAUUAACUGGGCGUAAAGGGCACGUAGGUGGUUUGUUAUGUGUACUAUAAAAUUAUAAAGCAUAACUUUAUACUGUAGUAUAGACAACUAAACUAGAGUUAGGUAGAGGGUAGUAGAAUUUCUAAUGUAAAGGUGAAAUUUGAUAAAUUUAGAGAGAAUACCAAUGGCGGAGGCAACCACCUGGGCCUUAGCUGACACUGAGGUGCGAAGGUAUGGGGAGCAAAUAGG
Molecule: ribosomal RNA, 252 nt
Filed under: uncultured bacterium
Lineage: Bacteria
Description: partial 16S ribosomal RNA
Rfam family: Bacterial small subunit ribosomal RNA
Source: RNAcentral